Molecule: ribosomal RNA, 468 nt
Filed under: uncultured bacterium
Lineage: Bacteria
Description: partial 16S ribosomal RNA
Rfam family: Bacterial small subunit ribosomal RNA
Source: RNAcentral
GACGAACGCUGGCGGCGUGCUUAAUACAUGCAAGUCGAGCGGAAAGGCCCUGCUUUUGUGGGGUGCUCGUGUGGCGAACGGGUGAGUAACACGUGAGUAACCUGUCCUUGACUUUGGGAUAACUUCAGGAAACUGGGGCUAAUAUCGGAUAGAAGCUCCUGCUGCAUGGUGUUGGUUGGAAAGUUUCGGCGGUUGGGGGUGGACUCGCGGCUUAGCAGCUUGUUGGUGGGGUAGUGGCGUACCAAGGCUUCGACGGGUAGCCGGCCUGAGAGGGUGACCGGCCACAUGGGGACUGCGAUACGGCCCAGAAGGCUACGGGAGGCAGCGGUGGAAAAUAUUGCACAAUGGGCGGGAGCCAGAUACAACGACGCCGCGUGCGGGAUGACGGCCUUCGGGUUGUAAACCGCUUUCGACUGUAACGAAGCGUGAGUGACGGUAAUGGGUAAAGAAGCACCGGCUAACUACGUG